RNAcentral lists this ribosomal RNA (247 nucleotides) under uncultured bacterium. RNAcentral's name for it is "partial 16S ribosomal RNA". It matches the Rfam family "Bacterial small subunit ribosomal RNA", at positions 523 to 769 of the family's 1533-position model. The record is from RNAcentral.
AUACGUAGGACGCAAGCGUUAUCCGGAUUUAUUGGGUUUAAAGGGUGCGUAGGCGGACCCAUAAGUCAGUGGUGAAAGACUGUCGCUUAACGAUAGCAUUGCCAUUGAUACUGUGGAUCUUGAGUAUAGUUGAGGUAGGCGGAAUGUGUAGUGUAGCGGUGAAAUGCUUAGAUAUUACACAGAACACCGAUUGCGAAGGCAGCUUACUAAGCUAUAACUGACGCUGAGGCACGAAAGCGUGGGGAUC